GGAGUUUGGGCCGUGUCUCAGUCCCAAUGUGGCCGUUCACCCUCUCAGGCCGGCUACUGAUCGUCGCCUUGGUGGGCCGUUACCUCACCAACUAGCUAAUCAGACGCGGGUCCAUCUUAUCCCGAUAAAUCUUUUCACACUGUUUCAUGCGAAACUGUGCGCUUAUGCGGUAUUAGCAGUAAUUUCUCACUGUUAUCCCCCUGGAUAAGGCAGGUUACCCACGCGUUACUCACCCGUCCGCCACUAAGAUUACAACUUAGCAAGCUAAAAAGUAAUCUCCGUUCGACUUGCAUGUGUUAAGCACGCCGCCAGCGUUCAUC
This 320-nucleotide ribosomal RNA is filed under the name uncultured Lachnospiraceae bacterium. RNAcentral's name for it is "partial 16S ribosomal RNA". The record is from RNAcentral. Lineage: Bacteria; Bacillati; Bacillota; Clostridia; Lachnospirales; Lachnospiraceae.